Long non-coding RNA from Brassica rapa (field mustard), 5414 nucleotides. RefSeq lists it as uncharacterized. Lineage: Eukaryota; Viridiplantae; Streptophyta; Magnoliopsida; Brassicales; Brassicaceae. The record is from RefSeq and is a predicted model, not a curated record.
CUUUAGCCACAUUAGGCAAUUCUGUAAUCUUAUUUAAGGAAAUAAUGAAGCACAAUAAUAAUGUAUUUAUUUUGAUUUAAUAAAAAGCUUAUUUUAUAUUUAUAUGAACCAACCUAUUUUUCUAAGGAUUCUAAGAAAUCAUUCUAGUGAUUACACGUGGCUACAAAAAAAUGUUGCAAUGCUUCUCAAAUAAUAUAUAGGGGAUUCAGUUUCUACCGAACUUGAAAAAGACCAUUAAUUUUGUGAAUUUGGUUGAUGUGGCGUUAGGCUGGAGCAGGAAUCUGAGUUUUUAAGUAUUAAAUACUUCGAAGAGUAAUUGAGUUUUAUAAUUUUUAAUAAAAAUCAAUUACAAAAUUUAUAGGCCUGGUGCAAAUUAUAAAACUCAAUUACGCUUCGAAAAAUUAUAAAAUUAUGUGAUUUCGUGAUUAGAAAAUUAUAUGUUGUAACCACACGAGCGUGGUCAAGUGGUACACACGGACUUGGAAAGGUGCUAAACACCCUGGUUUAAAACUUGACAUCUCAGAUAUAUCCGAUUGUAUGGCCAGUCAAAAUAGAUCUUUAAUUUCCAUUGCGAGGUCUGUUUGGCGUCAGUAAACAAACCCUCCCCCCCCCUUCCCCCUCAAGAAUUACUCGAUUGGAUUUCGGCUUGCUGGAUACCCGAGAUUAUAAAAAGAAAACUAAAUGUGGUAUGGUUUCUUAUCAAGAAAAUUACGGCUUGUGUGUUUGUAAUUAAAAAGAAUGUUUAGUAUGGUUUCUUAGUGCAUGAUUAUCGGUGGUGGGAGGAGGGUUCUUACGCAUGGGCCCCACCAUCUUUUUGCAAAAACCGUGUUUCAAUGUCGCCAAAUAAGAAACGUUUCACAGGGGUUUGUUGUACUGUUUACGGGCCUCACAAACACGUGGCAGCGCGCGAUUGAUUUAUUUUUAAUUUUUUUUUAAAUCAGAACACACAAAAAAAAAUUAAGAACCCAAAAACGUUUUUACCGAUAAUGAUGCUCUUAAUAGGCUAAUUUUGUGCGGCCAAAAGAACACAUCAAACUUUCGGUGGAGCUAAUAGUUUUCUUGUCUAAUAUUUGUCUACUAGUACUAAGCAAUAUGUGAACAGAGAAAUCUGAGAAGUUUUCAUUGGUCACGGCUUGUAACAAUUAAUAUGCUCACAUGUGAACGUAAUAUUGGUCCAAUGUGUUCAGUUUUAAAUAUUCUCUUCGUCUUUGUCUUUGGUCCCAAAAUCUAUUGUCUUUAUAUCUAUAGCUCUUCGAUCCAGCUAAAUAAUCUUAGGUGACUAUAUAUAGGGCACAUUUUUCAUAUACAUCUUUCGUAUCCCACCCUUUUCAGCACGUUCUUUUCUCAUCUUGUCAAUAUUGAAUUAUACGUUUAGGAACACUGAUGCGUAAAGUUACAGAGUGAUGUCAAGAUUUUAAAAUUAUCCAUAUGGUUGGUUCAUAUGUGGGUAGAUGAGGGUACCUCAUAGCUCAUAUGACAGAUUUCAACAUUGUCAGUUAAUCCUUGAUUUAAUCUACGGUGAUAUUUUAGCGGAGAAGGUGAUAGGGGAUUUUUUAGGAUUGAUCUUUUGUCCUGAAGCCUUUUUAUACUUGCCAAUGAUCAUAUCAUUAGAGGCAGCAGCUUUUGGUUGUGGUUUUGGCGAAUAACAUGAUGUCGCGUGCAAUUAGAAGAUUAUUUAUCUAUAGCUUCCUCUCACCACUCGAAUGCUUUUCAGAGGUUCUAGUGACUUAUCUGAGUGGCAUAAAUCUGAAAGCACUACUCCAUAGAGUAUGAAAAUACAUGGGAAGAUUAGUUUUCUUGUCUAAUUGCACGUUAAGGUAAGAAAAAUAUUUUUACAUGGCCAUUGAUAAAGGAGUAGGAAACAUAAGUAACCCAUUGCAUUAUCCAAUUGCAGUAGUUCAAUCAUGAAAACCCAAUCGUAUUAGGACAACUUAUAUGAAAACCCACGCGAGUCUGUCAUAGCUUUACUUAUUCCGGUUUUAUAGCCAUGGAACAAUACUUUUGAUCUCUUGAAUUCUUUCAGAACGUGAAGAUUAUAAUGAAUGAUCAUCACAUUGUCAAAGAUGAAUCGAUUUGUAUUGGGACAUGUACAUAUCCCAAACCUAGAUGACAUUAGAAUAGAAUAUAUCCAUUAUUGUAGUUUCCUCUAAUUCUAUAGUAUUAGGAAAUCUGAUGUGUAUAAAUAUAGGCACGCCUCUCUUGAGGUCUUAGAUGAAUGAUAAGAACCAAUUAUCGACCUUCUCAAUUUGUUUGGUACGAAUGCGUAUUGAUUUGCCGAGAUAACAAGGUUGAAUAUAUGUUGGAGGCGUAUGAUGAGGAUCUUUAAAAUGAUAGUAAGGUAAACGUUAGAGAGAGCUAUCUGUCUAUAAUCAUCAAUCUUGAUAAAAAGAAACUCCAACUAUAUAUGGAAUACUAUUUUAAUAAUAAUAUACCGGGUCUUACUUCGAUUGGGUGGAUUAAAAGUUGCAAAAAAUACUAUUGGUUUGAGCUUUAAUGGAAUCUUCACAUGCAUGUUCGUUACAUUCUCAUAACUAACCGACAGAUUGCUGGAACAUGAUCAAGACUCGCAUGCAUGUACUGACAGUGAAAUAACAUUGAUAGAUGUGGUCAAAGUUAUACGCUCGUUGACUGCAGAAGUUUAUAGUACUAGUUUUUUUUUUUUGUUGUUGGAAUCUUCUUAACAGAGCUAAUGAUAUAUGGAUAAAUCUCAUAAUACCAUCUUUAUGCAAAACCUGGUUUAUCUUCUCAUGAUUUGUACUAUAUUUCGUCUAUGAAAAUUACAAAACUAAUAUCGUGUUAUUUCACAAAAUAUCAUAAAGUUAUUUACACACAAUAUGCUUGGUUGAAACUGUAAAAAUCUUUUGACUGUAAAUUUUUAUUUUAAUAAGAAUUAGAUUUUUGUUUUAUAAUAGAAGAAUAUGAUCUGAUUGUAGUUUGAAUUUUAAUGGAUGUAUAUUCAUUCAGAAAAAAAAAGAAUUUUAAUGGAUGUAUAAACUUUAAUUUAGUUCUAAAGAUACUAGUUGAAUAUGUUAUAAUCAAAUUUUAACCUCUGUACAUAUUUAGAAGUUGUUUUAAAAUGAUAACAAAAAAAUAAUUUUUCAAAUCGUUGUUUCAUUAAUUUUAUUAUUUUUAAAAUCACAUCCAUUAUUUUUUUGAACAUAACAAAGAUUUUAAUUUUGGAAAUAUUCUUAAACUAAGGCAAUAACAAAACUGGCUAGAAACCAUAAAAUUUAGAUAUUUAAAAUAAGAUAAUAACAAAACUUCACAUCCAUUAUUUAACCGUUAAAGUUUUGAUAACCAACUAACCAAGUAAAAACUACAAUAACAUUGAUUUUUUUUAUUGGUUACAAAACGUAAAUCAGAAAUGGUUUUUGAAACAUUGAUUUUUUUUAUUAUAUUUUGAGUGUUUGAAGGACAAUUAAAGUAUGCUUGGGAAAAUUUUAACUUGAAAAAGAAAUUAUUUUAAAACCAUUAAAAUCUUAAGUGUCUAAAUACCAAAAACUCCCUAGCCCUCAAUAGAUUUGUUCACGAUGCCACAUAUUUUAUGGUAAAUGUAACCAGUGGCGGACCCAGCAAUAAUGUUUACCUGUGUCAUAAUAGAUAUAUUUUAAAAAUGUAUACAAAAAGUGUCAAGAUGGAGUUUGAACCCAGGUUUAGGGGUAUCAAAACCUAUAUACUCACCAUUUAAGCUACUGAUUACAUACUUUCAUACAUACCAAAAAACUAUUUAUGAUCAUUUAACCUGUGUCACCUGACCCACCUAACCUGGUAGUGGGUCCGCCUCUGAAUGUAACUAUAGAAACUAGAAAACUCAAAAAUAAAUAUAUUUAGCAUGAAAUUUAUUCAUAAAAGCUUCUUAUACCAAAAUUUUAAGUUAAAAAUUCAAACUAAUUCACACAAUCAUAAGUAAAUUGAUCAUAUAAGUAAUAUGCUAACUAAUAACUAGAUCAAAUUAUUAACUAGAUCUUGACCCGCACAACCGUGCGGGUUUUUAUAUUUAUAUACUAAAAUGUUUUAGUUUAUAUAACAAAAUUUAACAAUAACUUAACGUAAUUUAGUGUUAUAUAUUAUGUAAUUUUAUAAUAGCUACGUUUACGUAUGUGGCUUAUAUAUUAUUACUAUAAAUUUUAUAUUUUUGUAACAAAAAUUAUUUUGGAAACUUUAUUAUGUAACAAUAUUACUUUACAUACUUUUUAUUUUAAAUUUAUAUGAAAUCAAAUUAAAUUGGAUCUAUAUAGUAGAAAAUAUAUUUUUUGAGAUGCUGAGAAUUUCUUUUAAAGAAAAACUAUAAUACAUAAUACUUCAAAAUAUGUUUGUAGUAAAUAUCCUAUUUGAGAAAUACACAAAGUUGGAUAAAAUAUCUUCUUUUAAUUUAAAAUAGAAAUGAAUAUUUCUAACAAAAUCUUUGUAAAUUUUAUUUUUAAAAUUAAUCAGUUUAGAUUGUUAUUAUCAGUGAAUAUAUAAUUAUAAUACUUCAUAUAAUUUUACAUUUUCAUAUAUAAAUCAAAACUAAAAUAAAUUUUAAUUUCUAAUUAUAGUUUAUGAUAUCUAAAAUUAAAAUUAAUUACUUUUGGAUAUAAAAUUUAAAUUGAUUCCAAAAAUAUUUUUAAAAGAUUUUAUAGAACUUUCUUUAAAAAUAUUUAUUAUUAUUCAAUUAAAAUAUAAAUAUUAUAAUUAAUUCAUGUCAAAUUUGAUAAAAUUUUAAAGAAUGGUCCAAAUGAAAAAUCACGUAUGAAAAAUUCAUCACUACAGUCUAUAUAUAUAUAUAUAUAUAUAUAUAUAUAUAUAUAUAUAUAUUAUAUAUUUAUCAAUACAUGUUUGUUAACACAACAUCUAUAUAAAUAUUGAUAUAUGUAUAAUGUAUAACAUAAUUAAUAAUAAUAACACUUAUUAUGAAAAUACAAUAGUGUUAGGAUUUUAAUAUUUGAUUUGAUUUUAUUAUCUGCAUGGUGAAAUUCUAACAUUAUUUUAUUUGCAUAAUAAAUGUUAAUUGUUAUUAUUAUUAAUUAGAUCAUAUGCAGGUAUUAACUCUAGAAUAACUAGGCAACUAUAAUUAUAUAUUGAUGGAAUAAAUAUAUUUUCGAAAUUAUCCAUUAUUAAUUAUAUUUUGAUGGAAUAAAAAGAUAAUUAAAUAUCUUAUUAGGAUAUUGUUAUGAAAUACAAAAAAAAAAUGUAAGCAACUUUCUAGGGAUGGUCCAUUUAAAAUAUCACACAUGAAAGAAGUAUUGACUUCUCUUUUAAUAGUAUAGAAUAGAUCCUUCCACUCAUGUUCCACGAGCGAGAAAUCAGUUUUCAGACUUUUUAGCUAAGAAUGCUAGAUCCUUCCAUAGGGAGUUACUUUUCAUUGGUUGUUCUAUUCCGGUCUGGUUACCCAGACCACCUCAAGCUUGAGUAAUAGAAUGGCCGUUCGAUGU